RNAcentral lists this ribosomal RNA (772 nucleotides) under Robillarda africana. RNAcentral describes it as "eukaryotic LSU rRNA". It matches the Rfam family "Eukaryotic large subunit ribosomal RNA", at positions 100 to 899 of the family's 3401-position model. The record is from RNAcentral. Lineage: Eukaryota; Fungi; Ascomycota; Sordariomycetes; Amphisphaeriales; Sporocadaceae.
GGCAACAGCUCAAAUUUGAAAUCUGGCCUUCUGGUCCGAAUUGUAAUUUGUAGAGGAUGAUUUUGGUGCGGUACCUUCCGAGUUCCUUGGAACAGGACGCCUUAGAGGGUGAGAGCCCCGUACGGUUGGAUGCCUAGCCUUUGUAAAUCUCCUUCGACGAGUCGAGUAGUUUGGGAAUGCUGCUCUAAAUGGGAGGUAAAUUUCUUCUAAAGCUAAAUAUUGGCCAGAGACCGAUAGCGCACAAGUAGAGUGAUCGAAAGAUGAAAAGCACUUUGAAAAGAGGGUUAAAUAGCACGUGAAAUUGUUGAAAGGGAAGGAUUUAUGACCAGACUUUUUCUAGGCGGAUCAUCCGGUGUUCUCACCGGUGCACUUUGUCUAGUUUAGGCCAGCAUCGAUUUUCGGCAGCGGAUAAAAGCUUCAGGAAUGUGGCUCCUCCGGGAGUGUUAUAGCCUGUUGUAUAAUACGCCGCUGGGGAUCGAGGUACGCGCUUCUGCAAGGAUGCUGGCGUAAUGGUUAUCAAUCACCCGUCUUGAAACACGGACCAAGGAGUCGAACAUUUAUGCGAGUGUUUGGGUGUUAAACCCUCACGCGUAAUGAAAGUGAACGGAGGUGAGAGCCCUUACGGGUGCAUCAUCGACCGAUCCUGAUGUUUUCGGAUGGAUUUGAGUAAGAGCAUAACUGUUCGGACCCGAAAGAUGGUGAACUAUGCGUGGAUAGGGUGAAGCCAGAGGAAACUCUGGUGGAGGCUCGCAGCGGUUCUGACGUGCAAAUC